AACAACUCACCUGCCGAAUCAACUAGCCCUGAAAAUGGAUGGCGCUUAAGCGAGAGACCUAUACUCCGCCGUUGCGGCAUGUGCGUUGUCUAGCGCCAGGCCGUAACGAGUAGGAAGGUCGUGGCGGUUGCUUUGAAGGCUAUGAGCGUGGGCUCGGCUGGAGCUUCCGUCAGUGCAGAUCGUAAUGGUAGUAGCAAAUAUUCAAGUUCGAUCCUUGAAGACUGAAGUGGAGAAGGGUUCCACGUGAACAGUAGUUGGAUGUGGGUCAGUCGAUCCUAAGGUACUGGCGAACGCCUUGUAUCAUCGGUGGCGAAAAGCUUGCUUUUGGUCCCCGUUUGUCGAAAGGGAAUAGGGUUAAUAUUCCCUAACUGAGAUGCAAAGAUUGUGUUCUUCGGAGCACAAGCGCGGUAACGCAUUCGAACUUGGUUAGUCGCUCAAAGACCGAGCUAGAGUUUUCUUCUCUAGUUAAGGAACGGACUCCCUGGAAUUGGUUCAGCCAGAGAUGGGGACGUUGUUUCCGAAAAGCACCGCGGUUUCUGUGGUGUCUCGUGCUCUUUGAACGGCCCUUAAAACACCAAGGGAGGCUAUUAAUUUGCACUCAAUCGUACCGAUAUCCGCAUUAGGUCUCCAAGGUGAACAGCCUCUAGUCGAUAGAAUAAUGUAGGUAAGGGAAGUCGGCAAACUAGAUCCGUAACUUCGGGAAAAGGAUUGGCUCCAGUGGUUGGAACGAUUGGCCAGUUGGUUGAUGCUUGUCCGGCGCUAUUCUGUCUGCUUGAUGCUUUCGGGCUGAUGGCGGACUAGUGAUAGUGCUUGCUUGUGGACGCUUUCUGGUGUGUGCUAGGACCUCGGUUCUAGUAUCCUGAUCGCUCAUCUAAACAACCGUACUGGAACCGGUACGGACUCAGGGAAUCCGACUGUCUAAUUAAAACAGAGGUGACAGAUGGUCCUUGCGGACGCUGACUGUCACUGAUUUCUGCCCAGUGCUCUGAAUGUUAAAUCGUAGUAAUUCGAGUAAGCGCGGGUAAACGGCGGGAGUAACUAUGACUCUCUUAAGGUAGCCAAAUGCCUCGUCAUUUAAUUGUUGACGCGCAUGAAUGGAUUAACGAGAUUCCUACUGUCCCUAACUACUAUCUAGCGAAACCACAGCCAAGGGAACGGGCUUGGCAAAAAUAGCGGGGAAAGAAGACCCUGUUGAGCUUGACUCUAGUUUGACAUUGUGAAGAGUCAUGAGAGGUGUAGCAUAGGUGGGAGACUUCGGUCGCCGGUGAAAUACCACCACUUUCAUCGACUCUUUACUUAUUCGGUUAAAAGAGAAUUGGCUUCACGGCCUUUUUUCGAAGCAUUAAGCGGAGCCAUUUUAUGGCACCGUGACUCUCCUCGAAGACAGUGUCAAGCGGGGAGUUUGACUGGGGCGGUACAUCUAUCAAAUCGUAACGUAGGUGUCCUAAGGCGAGCUCAGAGAGGACGGAAACCUCUCGUAGAGCAAAAGGGCAAAAGCUUGCUUGAUCUUGACUUUCAGUACGAGUACAGACCGCGAAAGCGUGGCCUAUCGAUCCUUUUAAUCCUGAUUGUUUCAGGUAAGAGGUGUCAGAAAAGUUACCACAGGGAUAACUGGCUUGUGGCAGCCAAGCGUCCAUAGCGACGUUGCUUUUUGAUCCUUCGAUGUCGGCUCUUCCUAUCAUUGCGAAGCAGAAUUCGCCAAGCGUUGGAUUGUUCACCCACUAAUAGGGAACGUGAGCUGGGUUUAGACCGUCGUGAGACAGGUUAGUUUUACCCUACUGUUGACUUGUUAUUGCGAAAGUAAUCCUGCUUAGUACGAGAGGAACAGCGGGUUCAAACAUUUGGUUCAUAGACUUGAUCGACAGAUCAAUGGUCUGAAGCUACCAUUUGAGAGAUUAUAACUGAACGCCUCUAAGUUAGAAUCUCGCCUUGUCAAGGCGAAAAUUUCUUGCUUCCCGGUGUCGGGAGGCAUCUCUAUCUCGUGGCAACACGAGAGCUUAUGCCCUAUGUAUGGCCUUGGCUUCGUAGUGAACUCUGCGAAGCUUGCCAACGCCAGAUCACUCUGGUUCAAUGUCGGGGCGCUAAAUCACUUGCAUACGACUUGGUCUCUUGGUCAAGGUGUUGUAUUCAGUAGAGCAGUCCUCUUAUACUGCGAUCUGUUGAGACUAUCCUUUGAUUGAGUUUUUUGUUUCUUU
This 2195-nucleotide ribosomal RNA is filed under the name Caenorhabditis nigoni. RNAcentral's name for it is "eukaryotic LSU rRNA". It matches the Rfam family "Eukaryotic large subunit ribosomal RNA", at positions 1284 to 3401 of the family's 3401-position model. The record is from RNAcentral. Lineage: Eukaryota; Metazoa; Nematoda; Chromadorea; Rhabditida; Rhabditidae.